Molecule: RNA transcript, 2924 nt
Organism: Culex pipiens pallens (northern house mosquito)
Lineage: Eukaryota; Metazoa; Arthropoda; Insecta; Diptera; Culicidae
Exons: 2
Source: RefSeq, a predicted model, not a curated record
ACUUAGAAUGAAUUGUAAAACUAUGUCCUAAAUAUUGAAUUGAAUUUAGGAGCGCUACGUCAGGCCAUAAUCGGUCAAGUACGAGUUUAAUCUGCUGACAUUGGUUGGAGAAGGAUAAGCAGAUUUGAAGACUAAUGUAAGUUGUUUACAUUUAAAUUGGAAUUUAUAGUAAUAAAGGAAUUUAGCUUUUAGCAAUAUGAACAUCAAAUAAACGGUGUUUUCGCUCAACGGAACUUCAAUAUCCUCCCCAACAAACUAAAAGAUUGUUUCAUCAUUAUGCCAACAAGUGCUUCCGAACUGACCCGCUGUCGCGGAUGGUCGCCGGAAAAGGCUGGCGAACCAAUUGAUAAAGCGAGGACUAGAUCGAGCAAAAUCAACGACCUGCGGUCCAAACUGCAGCGGGUGAAGUUGGAUGCACAACAGAUCAUCGCGGACAAGCAGCUGGAGUUUUUGAAACAGCGCGAGGAACUCGAACGGAAUCACGAGAACGCAAUGUUUCAGCUGCAACUGGAAGAGAAGAGGUGCAAGGAGUUCUACCGGAUGCGAAGAGAUGAGCUGAUCAAUGAAAGCACCAAGGAAUGCAGUGGGAAGUCGCAUUUAAGUACGCACAACUACGAGAAUGGUUGGCAAGAGCAGCAACGGAUGCGCCAAAGUUCGAGAAUGGAUUUCGAUCGAAUGGGGAUAGUUGAGCAGGCUGAUCAAGCGAGUUUAUCCAAGACGACGGCUGGGGCAGGCGCCAAACAGGACGGCAGCAGGCCAACAGUUGGUGAACGUGUUUCUCCGGGUAGGGCGUUGGAAAUAAACAAUCGCAAAGAUGCAGUACUCAUAUCUCCGUUGCGAGAAACGAAAUGUCCCAAAUUCGAGACAAUUCGCCAGGGUGAAGCAGCUUUGCCAAGUCAAUCGUGUGUUGGCCCGGUGAAUACGGGUUCGAGUACAACUGCGCGAUCUCCAGAGAUGCUGCUUUCUUCGAAUGGAUCAACAUCAUAUCCAUCAGGGGAACAUCCAACCCACCCGGGUAGUACAUUGCCCAAACCGAGCGGCGGACCAUCGUCGUCGUCGUCGACAGCUGACCAGGAACUUAGCGGUCAGCGAAUAGCGAUGACGAAGACACCUAACAAGAAGACCGUGUUUUCGUCACAAAUUUCACAUGUGAGGAAACGGGACGAGACAGCAUUACGUUGUCUUGAGAUGGAGUCAUACAGCAGUACAACUCCUGACAGCAACUCGUACGAUUCUCCAAACCAGACGUGGCUACAACAACAAUCACCGGGUUUCGAGGACGAGGCGAGUUUCGAUAGGGCGCACUCUCAGGAGAAGGCGCUGAAGACGUCUGAAGAGGAAGUGGCUAUCCAAGCACAGUCGUGCUUACUCUUCUCAGCGGUCUUCACCUACGAUACUCCGAGGACCUGCCACUCGUCGUGUUUACAGUUGGCCAGUCUGAAGGAACGCGAGUCGGUGCAAGAAAGGAGUGUCCAGCAUAUGAAUCGACAACGCCAGAACCGAGAGGACAGUCGCUUGCCCGAAAUCCUAACAGCCACCGAACACCAGAUAAUAGCAUACAAGGCACUGGAGGACGGGAAAGCUGGGAUGAAAGCGGAAGUCACCGGAGGAUUAGAUUAUUUCCGGUUUCGGUGGUCUGGUAUGAAGAAACAAGCCGUGCUGCAAGUCAUCCUACGCUUAUCUUCAACGGUAGUGCGAGAACGUCGUCCAGGACAAAUCACAGCGACGGAGACUCGACACGGAAGGAGAGUGAGCAGUAUGCUGAACCAGUUGGGGCGACAGAGGGUCGACGUCAACAGUGCUUUCUACGAUGGGAUGACGCUGAGCACGUGUAAUACGGAACCAGUUUUAAGAACACAUGGACGAUCACCUUCUGUGUCGUACGACAGCGGACGAAGAUUAGUAGUGGACGUCACUUGGCACCAGACCCUGAACUUGAUACUUUUUUGGGCUACCGGAAUGGAUGCAUUGAGUCGAGAGGUGACGUCGGUAAGGCUUGUGGUGGACCGGCUUCGGCAGUCAACCAAACGGAUCGCUCGAAACAUCUAUCGAACUGCGUUGCGCCGGGUGCUGGUCAAGUCUCAACGCAGAGUACAUCAUUACCACGUCGAUCCAGGAGAACGAACACCGAUUUUCAUACGGGUCGGGGUUCGUCGUCUACUAGUAGCGAGCCUUAUGGGACGGAAGACUAAACUGAAAUUGGGCAUCGAGAGGAACAAUGAGCUGGGAACCCGAGAAGAUGAGCAGCUGAACUUGGCAGGACUUCAAGGUGUGGGCGGAAGGAAGCAGCAACCGGUGGAAAGGCCUACAAAUGUAGUCGUGAGUACAAUCAGUGAUAGAAGGUUCCACCGAUGGUACGGGUCGGGGAAUGUUACGGCGUCUACCACCGGUUCCCUAUGGCCAGGUUGCAGCGCAGCGUUGCCUUGGUCGUUCCUACAAGGCGCCGCCGCGGGUGCCCGAAACGUCACAUUGGACAGGUCGGCAGUAAAUGUCAAAAGGUUUGGGUCGAUUGAUCGGUGAUUGACGAUGUGUGGGUUGCAUGAGAAAAAGUGGUAGGCACGAUGUAGGAGCGAUUGUUUAAAGAUAUUCACUAUAUUAAACAAUCAAUUUGUAAGUAAGAUACUUAGAAUGAAUUGUAAAACUAUGUCCUAAAUAUUGAAUUGAAUUUAGGAGCGCUACGUCAGGCCAUAAUCGGUCAAGUACGAGUUUAAUCUGCUGACAUUGGUUGGAGAAGGAUAAGCAGAUUUGAAGACUAAUCUUUUAGCAAUAUGAACAUCAAAUAAACGGUGUUUUCGCUCAACGGAACUUCAAUAUCCUCCCCAACAAACAGCAUAUCCAGCAUCAACAACAACAGUCCCAGCAACGUCAACACCAACCCCAGCAGCAUCAACAUCAAUCCCAACAACAGCAACAACUUCAUCAAC